UUACCUUGGCAAGAGUUUUCGGGACCACGUGU
Molecule: non-coding RNA, 32 nt
Filed under: Mus musculus (house mouse)
Lineage: Eukaryota; Metazoa; Chordata; Mammalia; Rodentia; Muridae
Source: RNAcentral